This 508-nucleotide ribosomal RNA is filed under the name Glomus sp. Glo40. RNAcentral's name for it is "SSU rRNA". It matches the Rfam family "Eukaryotic small subunit ribosomal RNA", at positions 569 to 1078 of the family's 1831-position model. The record is from RNAcentral. Lineage: Eukaryota; Fungi; Glomeromycota; Glomeromycetes; Glomerales; Glomeraceae.
AGCAGCCGCGGUAAUUCCAGCUCCAAUAGCGUAUAUUAAAGUUGUUGCAGUUAAAAAGCUCGUAGUUGAAUUUCGGGAUCAAUUUGCUGGUCGUGCCUUCGGUACGCACUGGUAUUAUUGGUUUCUCCUUUCUGAUGAAUCACGAUGUCAUUAAUUUGGUGUCGUGGGGAAUCAGGACUGUUACUUUGAAAAAAUUAGAGUGUUUAAAGCAGGCUCACGCUUGAAUACAUUAGCAUGGAAUAAUGAAAUAGGACGUUUGAUUCUAUUUUGUUGGUUUCUAGGAUCGACGUAAUGAUUAAUAGGGAUAGUUGGGGGCAUUAGUAUUCAAUUGUCAGAGGUGAAAUUCUUGGAUUUAUUGAAGACUAACUACUGCGAAAGCAUUUGCCAAGGAUGUUUUCAUUAAUCAAGAACGAAAGUUAGGGGAUCGAAGACGAUCAGAUACCGUCGUAGUCUUAACCAUAAACUAUGCCGACUAGGGAUCGGAUGAUGUUAAUUUUUUAAUGACUCA